CUGGAAUAUGGGUUGCCCUUGGCAAAUGAUCCUCUCAAAUCUUCCCUCAUUUGCAAAUUGGGAACGGUAAUCGCUCCUGUCCAGGAGGGAGGUGAGAGCUAGGGGUAGGCAGUCAUAGGGCGCCUGGCCUAACACUCGGUCGGGUGGGGCCGGGGUGGGGUGGAGAAGGUUAUUACUUUACCAGCAGCCAGGGCUGGCCCCUCCAGUAGAGAAGCCGCUCCACGCCAGGUGGGGCCCUGAGCAGCACCGCGCCCUGGUCCUUGAGGCAUUUCCACUCCCCCUUGCCCUGCCCGGUGCCUGUUUUUCCCUCUCUGCCCCUCAGUUGGCGCCUUCUGCCAGCCGAUCUUGACUUUUUUUUCCUUUUUUUCUCCCGAGCCUGCUCGGGGGGCUGCGGGCGCUCGGGCAGCUCGCGGGUCACAUGGCCCGCCGGAGCGCGGGGAGUCCCGCGCCGCAGCCGCGCGCGGAGACGAGGCGAGGCCGUGGGGAGCCGGCCAUGGAGCCUCCGCGGACAUGAGGCCAGCCAGGCCGGGCGACAGCAGAGGCGGCCCUCCGCGAGCGCCGGGACCGGAGCCGACCGCCCCGCCGGAUGCCAAGUAUUGGAAUGAUGCCCUUUCUAUGCCGACUUCCAAGUGUGUCAGUGCAAGUGAGACCAGGCCCCCAGUUGCUGCUGCAAGUGACCGCACUGGCUGUCUCCGGAAUCCAGCUCAGCGCGUUCCGCAGCCCGUACGCCGCCUGGUGGUGGACAGGCGCAUGGCCUGGACAGCCAAACGCGCAGAGGACCAGCGCGCUCCCUAAGGGUCGUUUGGCUCCUCCUUCGCUCAGUGGAUGCCCCUCCCCUCACAAGGGGUGGGGCAGGGCCACCUUCCUUCCCUGGACCUGCACCCCCAGCGCUGCAUCUUAGCUGCCAAAGCAUAUACCUCAGUGUCUGUUCUUGAUUUUUAAAAUUGUGAGUUGAGAUAGAAGAACACUUUUCUAAAAUGAGCGGAUAUUCCAAACAAAAACCCAACAUCAUCCUUAGUAAAAAAACACCAGCAACGUUACCAUGAACAUUAGAAACAAGCUAGGACGCCCUAUCAACAUAACAUUUUAGUCUCUUUUCUGUACGUGCAAAUGAAAUGCACAAGGUUGGAAAGGGAAAACAUUUUUUCAUUAUUUGUAAAAGAUAUUUUUCUAAGGUUAAAAAUUUUAAAAUGGAAGAAAAUCAACUGAAAAUAGAACUAUUAUAGAUUUCAAAAUGGAGGCGAAGUACUAAAGAAAUAGCUUUUCUAUAAUAAAUAGCUGUCCUCAUAGCAUUUAGUUGAAAAUAUAAUGGCAAAAAAAGCCCCACUUACCAUAGCAACAAAAAUGUCAAAGCUCCUAGAAUAAAUUUAACAAGAAACUCGUAAGGCCUAUUAUCCAAAGAACAACAAAUAUUUAGGGAAUUACAAAAAUUAAGAAGAGAAUAAAACAAUACAAACAAAACACACAUUACAUUGUCCUUUUUUUCUCAUUUCACCCCAGUGUAUUUGGGAACCAUUGUCUUAUGGGAUUCACUUAAGGAAACACUGCUCUACAAAGUUGUUUUGCCCAAAUAUGAAAAGAACAAAAUAGCCCUCUUAUUUGAAAAAAAAAAAAAAAAAAGGUGUUCAGUUAUUUUACUAAUAAAUUUCAUUUAGUUCCUUUGUUUCAGAUUUCGAAGUUUUUCAUUUAUCAAUGAACUACAGAUGUAUUAGAUCAUGUGACAUUAUCUGCUAGUCAAGUAAUGUCCUGAUACAACUCCAAAUUGGUUUUUCCUGACCAAUUAGCUUCAAUAUAAAAGUUUUCAAAGAAAUUUUGUUGGAAAGAAAGAAAAUUUAUACUUAUAUUAUUAUAGUAGUAUAAUUUGGAAGGUUAAGAACAAUAUUUUUAAUAGCUAUCAGUUAUGUAUAUAAAUAUCAAUUUCUUUUAGUUAAUAAGUUACCUAGUUGGAAACAUCAAUUAAUUGACUCCUUAAAAAUUUUUUUCCUAUAAAGGCCUAAAUUGAUAUUGCUAACCAAAACAGAGUCAGCCUUGAAAAUCAAGGAAUUCAUUAUGCCUAAUGAACUGAAGUGAAACUUACUAGUUGUUUAAACGCUGUUAACUUUCCCUAAGCUGAUAUCUAUUUUUAUAAACUAAUGUAAAUAAUCUGUUUAUAUUUAGAAUCCUAACUGGUUUUCAUUUUUAUAACUGAUAGUCUAGACCUUAAGUGUUUAGAAAUAAAAUGAAGCCUCAACUGGAUUUGUGAGAAUAAAAUUCAUUGUCUGUAAUUGCCCUAGAACAGAGUAGGUUAGGUACCAUAUGUUUAUUGUGCCAAUAUGAACUGUAAUUCACAAAAGAGAAGUACAUAAUUUGUUUGUCAUGUAGAAAAGUUCCUUUGAAAGGAGAACCGUCUUUUAAAUAAAUAAAACUUCCCAAAUUACAAGUUUAGAGAGAGACACAGAGAAAGAAUAGAGUGGCAUGUAAUUUUUUCUUGGUAAAUUUCAAUAACACCAAGAUAUCAAUGAUCUCCUAAUUAGUUUAAAAGUUAGUAUAAUUCCAAUCAAAAUGCCAAAUUGGGAAAUGAAUGAAACCAUUCUGAAGGUCAUUUGGAAAAUUAAAAGGCAAGAAGAUCCAAGAAAUGUUUGAGAAAGGCUGGGGGUAAUACAGUCCUUCAAAUGUAUAAUAUAUCAUAAAGAUACAAUAAUUAAAACAAUUUGAGGGUUGUAUAAGAAAAAUAAAACAUGCAUUUAUGGAAAAAUAGAAAACAAUACAUUUGUAUGUGUGUGGUGCAUGCACUAUGAAUUGUGAUUAUUUAUAUAUGAAUUAUGUAACACAUGUGCUUAUGUGAUAUGUAUAUAUGAAUUAUAGUCAUGUAUUAAGUAUUCAUAGACAUACGCAAAUGUAUAUGUUAUGCAUAUAUGUAUUAUGAAUGAUGAUUAUAUAUUAAUGGAGUAUAUGAUAGAUGGAAUUGCAAAAGAAUGCUGACAUAUUAAAAACAGUACUGAAAUAAUCAACUAAUGUAGCAGAACUCUGUCAACAUCUUUUGAAAAUCCUCUUGACAUUUUGGUAGUUUCCCACAUUGUAAGUCCUGCCUUUCCAAGAGAAUCCAUAAAAUAGGCUGUAUUAGUCUGCCAAAGGGGUGCUGAUGCAAAGUACUAGAAAUUUGUUGGAUUUUACAAAGGGUAUUUAUUUUGGAUAGAAGUUUACAGUUACCAGGCCAUAAAGUGAAAGUUACUUCCCUCACCAAAGUCUGUUGCCACAUGUUGGAGCAAGAUGGCUGCUGACAUUCAGCCUUUCUCUUCCUCUUCAGGCUGCAUGGUCCCAGCUUCUUCCAAUCAGCUGUGGGCUGGGAUAAGUCUUGUCUCUCUCCUGGGGCUUGUUUCUUUCCAGGAUCAGCUGCUCUGGUCUCUCUACAAGGUCAGCUGUAAACUCUCAGGCAAAUAGCUCAUCUCUCUUCCCAGGGCCUCUGCUAUGUCUAAUGGAGCCUUCUCUCUUUCCUCAUGUAUCUGCUUCUCUGGGUAUUUACUUCCUGGGCUCCAGGAUCAAAACUCCAGCAUCAAAAACUCCACUGUCUGCCCUGCCAUGUGGUUUUCUCUCUGAUGUGGCCGAAUCAAAGUCUUAAUCAUAAUUUAAUCAAGUAAAAGUGAAACCUUUGAUUCCAGUACAAUCUACCAUGCCCAGAGGAACAAACCAGUUUACAAACAUAAUCCAAUAUCUAUUUUUGGAAUUCAUAAAUAAUGCCAAACUGCCACACUCCACCCUCAAUUCCAAAAGACAUUACAAUAUUCAAAAAACCCAUAAUCAGUAACAGUGCAAGUACAAAAUCAUAUCACAAUCAAUUUAAAGGAAUACAGUUUGUCUUGGGGCAAAGUCCCAUCUGGCUGUAACUCUAAAAACUUGCAAAACCAUUUAUCUUCUUCCAAUAAACAGAUGGACAAAGGAUAAACAUUUCCAUCACCAUAAGGGGAAAUUGGGAGGGAAACAUGAGUCAUGGGGCCCCUACAGUUCAGUUAACCUGCAGGUCAUACUUCAUUAGAUGUCAAAGUCUGAGAGUCAUUCUUAAGAUGAUGUUUUAUUCUCCAUGGGGCCUCGUGGAGAUUCACUCUUUCCAUAGGCUUGCCCAACAGCCAUUUUCUUGGUUCCACCCUUAUCAAGCAUCUGGGUGGAGACCAAGCUCCAGAUCUUUCUCUCCAAGUGCAUUGGGUUGAUUGCCACACAUUACCCGAUCUUUGGGUUAGAGUCUUAACCACCCU
Molecule: long non-coding RNA, 4229 nt
Filed under: Dasypus novemcinctus (nine-banded armadillo)
Lineage: Eukaryota; Metazoa; Chordata; Mammalia; Cingulata; Dasypodidae
Description: lncRNA (ENSDNOG00000052858.1)
Source: RNAcentral